This 26-nucleotide non-coding RNA is filed under the name Cricetulus griseus (Chinese hamster). The record is from RNAcentral. Lineage: Eukaryota; Metazoa; Chordata; Mammalia; Rodentia; Cricetidae.
GGGGCUGGAGAGAGAUGGCUCAGAGG